Molecule: transfer RNA, 76 nt
Filed under: Marinobacter sp.
Lineage: Bacteria; Pseudomonadati; Pseudomonadota; Gammaproteobacteria; Pseudomonadales; Marinobacteraceae
Also listed under: 1 other name
Description: tRNA-Gly
Rfam family: tRNA
About the family: Transfer RNA (tRNA) molecules are approximately 80 nucleotides in length. Their secondary structure includes four short double-helical elements and three loops (D, anti-codon, and T loops).
Source: RNAcentral
GCAGGUGAAGUCAUAAUGGGAUGACGCCAGCCUUCCAAGCUGGAACUAGCGGGUUCGAUCCCCGUCACCUGCACCA